This 253-nucleotide ribosomal RNA is filed under the name uncultured bacterium. RNAcentral's name for it is "partial 16S ribosomal RNA". It matches the Rfam family "Bacterial small subunit ribosomal RNA", at positions 524 to 776 of the family's 1533-position model. The record is from RNAcentral.
UACAGAGGUCUCAAGCGUUGUUCGGAUUCAUUGGGCAUAAAGGGUGCGUAGGCGGCGCGGUAAGUCGGGUGUGAAAUCUCGGAGCUUAACUCCGAAACUGCAUUCGAUACUGCCGUGCUUGAGGACUGGAGAGGAGACUGGAAUUUACGGUGUAGCGGUGAAAUGCGUAGAUAUCGUAAGGAAGACCAGUGGCGAAGGCGGGUCUCUGGACAGUUCCUGACGCUGAGGCACGAAGGCCAGGGGAGCAAACGGG